This 1246-nucleotide long non-coding RNA is filed under the name Anolis carolinensis (green anole). Its description in RNAcentral is "lncRNA (ENSACAG00000043940.1)". The record is from RNAcentral. Lineage: Eukaryota; Metazoa; Chordata; Lepidosauria; Squamata; Anolidae.
AUGGGGGAGGGAGGGAGGGAGGGGCUUUUGCAGGUCGUGACCCCCCUUGACCUCUCUUUGCCCCCCCCCCAUGACCCCGCAGACGGAGGCGGUGCUGUGCGAGUGCCGGGUGCGCUUCCUGUCCUUCAUGGGCAUCGGGAGGGACGUCCGCUCCUUCGCCUUCAUCAUGGCCACCGCCCCCGGGGACUUCCGCUGCCACAUGGUCUGGUGCGAGCCCAACGCCGCCGGGCUGAGCGAGGCCGUCCAGGCCGCAUGCAUGCUCCGCUACCAGAAGUGCCUGGACGCGCGCCCGCAGGCCUCCACCAGCCCUUCCUCGUCCUCCUCCUCGUCCUGCCUCCCGGCCCCUCCGGCCGCGGACUCCGUGGCCCGCCGCGUGGGCUCCUCCGUCCGGAAGGGCGUCCAGACCCUGCUGGGGACCCUCAAGCCCAAGCGCCAGGGGGGCGCCCAGACGCCGUGACCCCCGACCCCUCUGGGGACCCCCUCAGAGACCCCUCCUCCAUACGCCCACCUCCCCCCCCCACCGGACCACAGCUCCCCCCCAUGUCCCCCCUUCGGUGAAAGCAAGUGUGCAAGGUGUGUAUUUAUGCAGAGCGAGUGAGGCAGGAAUGACUGUGUCCUCUCCCUUUUUGAGCUGCUGGAAGGGAGGGAAGAAAGUAGGGGAGGGGGCAAGGAAGAGUUUGGGGGGUCUUCCCUCCCCCCCCCCCACAACGUCAUUUAGUCUAACUGAAUUUGAGGGGGAGAAGCUGAUGUUGCUGCUGUCGAUGAGACCAUUGCCGGUUGGGGGUGGGGGCUGUGUCUAGGCACUGGCCAGCCUUGCCCCCGCCCCAAAUAAAAGGACUGAGGCCUUGCAGGUGGGGAGGAGGGCAGAAGAGAGCUCUGUGUUGUACUAAAUUCAUUAAUAAACUCUGUUCCCAUUGAGUCUGAUGGUUUUGUGGCUUGACAACAGUGUGGGGAGCAAUGGGGCUGUUCCUUAUUUCCACUUGGGGGGUGGGUCUUGUCAACAAGAGGGGGAAGGCCCUCACUGUCCCCCGUGGUUGGAAAGGGGCCUCGUUGCUCUACAUGGGGAAGGGGUUGAUGCACAGGGCCCCAAUAUUUGUAGUUCAGGCUGUAACUGUAAAUAUGUAAAUAAAGUUUAACAACAGUUGGAUUUACAACUGAACCCUUCGCCUGCUGGAGGCCAGCAGGCGAAGGUUCCGGUGAAAAACCAAGUGGUGUUAAUUUUUAUUUUCCCAUUUACAUUAACUUC